Hibiscus syriacus is the source of this 828-nucleotide long non-coding RNA. RefSeq lists it as uncharacterized. The record is from RefSeq and is a predicted model, not a curated record. Lineage: Eukaryota; Viridiplantae; Streptophyta; Magnoliopsida; Malvales; Malvaceae. The transcript is spliced from 2 exons.
GAAUUUGGCUGAUAACGCGUCCAGGUUCAUCUCUUCUUCCCCCAUACCAGCUCAUUUAUUUAAAAUCUCAUUCGUCUUUCUCCACUUCUGCCAUUGAGAGAAGAAAGAAAAACCUAAAAACUCCUUUAAACAUAUCCGAAAUCUUCAAUUUCUCAGUUUCCUCAGAAGAAAUGGAAGACAGAAAAACAUAUGGAAGAGCCUCCUUACCACGUCCUUCACAAGCUUCCUCCUGGGAACGGCCCUUACGUUCGAGCCAAACAUGUUCAGCUAGUAGAUAAGGAUCCAGAAGCAGCCAUAGCUUUGUUUUGGAAGGCAAUUAAGUUCGAUUUGAAAACCAAAACUCAAAGAUCAUCUCAUUAGUUUAAUAUUCCAAAGGGGUAAAUGGCAUUUCUCCUUUACAACAUAAAGAAGAAAAUGGUUGAUAGAAAAAAUAAUCUACAGUAAGUAAGAAGUAGAAACUAUAUUAUCCUAUACAGACGGCCGAGAUGCAAAAGCCUCUCCCUGUCCUGAACGGCUAGCAAAGGGAGAACACAGGUGCAAUAAAAAACAAUGAAGGAAUCAAUAUGGAUCAAUCUAUCAAGAGUGGAGAGACAACAACCCCAGUGAGCAACGCAGUAGCACAAAUUUAACAUUUGAAGCCAGGGCAGAUUGACAGCACAAUGAUAAGAACCAACGCAAGGACUAUGCCAAAAACAAUCAAUUUCAUCUUCAUGUUCUCUAACCACAUCUUUCUUUUCAUCUUAGUUCCUUGCUGCCUAAAAUCUUGUGCCUACAAUUCAAAGUCACAUGCAUCAUAUUCUGAAUUUUAUGUAUAUCAAGUUAAACGCA